GACGAACGCUGGCGGCGGGCUUAACACAUGCAAGUCGAACGGUGACCCACUUCGAAGGUGCUCUUUCGCGUACGGGGUGGUAACAGGUUGGCAACCUGCUCCCGGCCCUGUUAUAACUCCAGGAAAUUGGGGCGAAUACUGGGCUUUUACCGCUUCCGACCUGGGUGUGGGUGGAGAGGGUUUCCGGCUGGUGAGCGGCCCGCGGCCUAGCUGCUGGAUUGUGGGGUAGGGGCGUACCAGGGCGACGACGGGUAGCCGGCCUGAGAGGGUGACCUGCCACACUGGGACUGCGAGACGGAGCAGACUCCUACGGGAGGCAGCAGUGGGGAAUAUUGCGCAAUGGGCGGGCGCGUGACGCAGCGACGCCGCGUGGGGGAUGCCGGCCUUCGGGUUGUAAAACUCUUUCAGCAGGGACGCAGCGCAAGUGACGGUACCUACAGAAGAAGCACCGGCCAACUACGUG
RNAcentral lists this ribosomal RNA (463 nucleotides) under uncultured bacterium. RNAcentral describes it as "partial 16S ribosomal RNA". It matches the Rfam family "Bacterial small subunit ribosomal RNA", at positions 28 to 507 of the family's 1533-position model. The record is from RNAcentral.